AGAGUUUGAUCCUGGCUCAGGAUGAACGCUGGCGGCGUGCUUAACACAUGCAAGUCGAGCGAAGCAUAGAUGUGGAAGUUUUCGGAUGGAAGCGUGUAUGACUGAGCGGCGGACGGGUGAGUAACGCGUGGGUAACCUGCCUCAUACAGGGGGAUAACAGUUAGAAAUGACUGCUAAUACCGCAUAAGCGCACAGGACCGCAUGGUCCGGUGUGAAAAACUCCGGUGGUAUGAGAUGGACCCGCGUCUGAUUAGCUGGUUGGUGAGGUAACGGCCCACCAAGGCGACGAUCAGUAGCCGACCUGAGAGGGUGGCCGGCCACAUUGGGACUGAGACACGGCCCAAACUCCUACGGGAGGCAGCAGUGGGGAAUAUUGCACAAUGGGGGAAACCCUGAUGCAGCAACGCCGCGUGAGUGAAGAAGUAUUUCGGUAUGUAAAGCUCUAUCAGCAGGGAAGAGAAUGACGGUACCUGACUAAGAAGCCCCGGCUAACUACGUGCCAGCAGCCGCGGUAAUACGUAGGGGGCAAGCGUUAUCCGGAUUUACUGGGUGUAAAGGGAGCGUAGACGGCUGUACAAGUCUGAAGUGAAAGCCCGUGGCUCAACCGCGGAACUGCUUUGGAAACUGUAAAGCUGGAGUACUGGAGAGGCAGGCGGAAUUCCUAGCGUAGCGGUGAAAUGCGUAGAUAUUAGGAGGAACACCGGUGGCGAAGGCGGCUCACUGGACUGUAACUGACGUUGAGGCUCGAAAGCGUGGGGAGCAAACAGGAUUAGAUACCCUGGUAGUCCACGCCGUAAACGAUGAU
RNAcentral lists this ribosomal RNA (805 nucleotides) under uncultured bacterium. RNAcentral describes it as "bacterial SSU rRNA". It matches the Rfam family "Bacterial small subunit ribosomal RNA", at positions 8 to 813 of the family's 1533-position model. The record is from RNAcentral.